Molecule: small RNA, 647 nt
Filed under: Olea europaea subsp. europaea
Lineage: Eukaryota; Viridiplantae; Streptophyta; Magnoliopsida; Lamiales; Oleaceae
Source: RNAcentral
AUAAAAUAAGAAAGAAUUCAUUAUGUUGUUACAAAGAUAAUGGUCAAAUUGAAUAAUUUGGAUGCCAUAAGAAAAAGUAUAAACCAUAUAAGAACUAUAAAAGAAAAUUCAAAAACUACAAAAACUUCAAGAAAAGAAACUUUAAACCACAUAAAAAAUAUUUCAAGAAAAGAAAUUGGAAUAAAAAAUUUAAACUAAGAAAUAUUAAAAACUGUAGAUGUUUUAUUUGUAAUGAAGAAGGACACAUUGCCCCUCAAUGUUCUAAAAAGAGAAACAGACAAAAUAUAAAAACUCUUAGAAUUUAUUAAAAAUUUCAAGAAGAUAGUAAUAUAGAACCAAUUGAAUAUUUUGAAGAUCUAAGUAGUGAAUGCAGUAGCAUUUAUGAAUUAGAUACAUCCUCAUCAGAAGAAGAUUAUGAGGAGACAAUAUAUAUGAAUCAGGAGAUACAACAACCAGAAAUAGAAAUAGAGACAACUGAAGAAGUUGAAGAUUCUAUAGAAGGUAUAAAUCAAGAAAUUACCUUUGAUAUUAAAAAAUACAUAGGAAUCACUAAGAAAAUACUAGAUCUACAAGAAAAGGAUGUAUUCCAUCAAAAAUUCUUAGGAAUUUUACCAAGAGUAAAUAAAACAAUUGUAAGUAUGAAUUAU